GCGCCUGUAGCUCAGUGGAUUAGAGCACCGGCCUCCGGAGCCGGGUGUCGGAGGUUCGAGUCCUCCCAGGCGCGCCA
Molecule: transfer RNA, 77 nt
Filed under: Nitrospira sp.
Lineage: Bacteria; Pseudomonadati; Nitrospirota; Nitrospiria; Nitrospirales; Nitrospiraceae
Also listed under: 1 other name
Description: tRNA-Arg
Rfam family: tRNA
About the family: Transfer RNA (tRNA) molecules are approximately 80 nucleotides in length.
Source: RNAcentral